Molecule: ribosomal RNA, 332 nt
Filed under: uncultured bacterium
Lineage: Bacteria
Description: bacterial SSU rRNA
Rfam family: Bacterial small subunit ribosomal RNA
Source: RNAcentral
CGUGUAGGUGGUUUGUUAAGUUGGGUGUUAAAUCUCUCGGCUCAACUGAGAGGUGUCGCUCAAAACUAGCAGACUGGAGGACGGUAGAGGAAGGUGGAAUUCCGGGUGUAGUGGUGAAAUGCGUAGAUAUCCGGAGGAACAUCAGUGGCGAAGGCGGCCUUCUGGACCGCUCCUGACACUCCAACGCGAAAGCUAGGGGAGCAAACGGGAUUAGAAACCCCGGUAGUCCUAGCUGUAAACGAUGUGAACUUGGUGUUGGCGGGGUAAAACCUGCCGGUGCCGAAGCAAACGCGAUAAGUUCACCGCCUGGGGACUACGGCCGCAAGGUUAAA